RNAcentral lists this long non-coding RNA (331 nucleotides) under Macaca mulatta (Rhesus monkey). RNAcentral's name for it is "lncRNA (ENSMMUG00000053867.1)". Lineage: Eukaryota; Metazoa; Chordata; Mammalia; Primates; Cercopithecidae. The record is from RNAcentral.
CGCAAGCAACAUGGGAACUUCUAGAGAAAACAAGAAGAAGACUUCAAAAAACAUGCUGUGAUGUCUCCCGGUGGAGACAGGGCACGAGGUGAGUGAAAAUUGCAAAGAACUGUUUUCUAAUAAGAACACAGGCAAACUGAGAGCUUAGCUUAAACCAGUGAUCAUUCUUGAAGCAGAAGUAUUAUAAAUUUCUUUGUAGAAUUUUAUAACCCUUCUUGGUUUGAUAACCGUCAAAUAAACAAAUUGUGAGAUUACUUAAUUAGCUAGCAGUAAGGGCAAAUAGCCACCUUCUAAACCAGCUGUGUUGCAUCAGACUUGAUUGCAUAUAUGA